AAAGGAAUUGACGGGGGCCCGCACAAGCGGUGGAGCAUGUUGCUUAAUUCGACGCAACGCGAAGAACCUUACCAGGCCUUGACAUCCUAGGAACCCUCCCGAAACGGAGGGGUGCCUUCACGGGAGCCUAGAGACAGAUGGUGCAUGGCUGUCGUCAGCUCGUGUCGUGAGAUGUUGGGUUAAGUCCCGCAACGAGCGCAACCCUUGUCGACUGUUGCCAGCGGGUAAUGCCGGGGACUCUGUCGAAACUGCCGGAGCAAUCCGGAGGAAGGCGAGGAUGACGUCAAGUCCGCAUGCCUCUUACGGCCGGGGCUGCAAACAUGCUACAAUGGCUGGUACAGAGGGCUGCGAAGCCGCGAGGCCGAGCAAAUCCCACAAAGCCAGUCUCAGUUCGGAUUGGAGUCUGCAACUCGACUCCAUGAAGGUGGAAUCGCUAGUAACCGUAGAUCAGCAACGCUGCGGUGAAUACGUUCCCGGGCCUUGUACACACCGCCCGU
RNAcentral lists this ribosomal RNA (497 nucleotides) under uncultured bacterium. RNAcentral's name for it is "bacterial SSU rRNA". It matches the Rfam family "Bacterial small subunit ribosomal RNA", at positions 903 to 1397 of the family's 1533-position model. The record is from RNAcentral.